GCUCUGAUAGCUUAACUUAAAGCAUUGGUCUUGUAAGCCAAAGACUAUAGUUUAAUUACUAUUCAAAGCU
RNAcentral lists this transfer RNA (70 nucleotides) under Boehmantis microtympanum. Its description in RNAcentral is "tRNA-Thr". It matches the Rfam family "tRNA". From Rfam's summary of the family: Transfer RNA (tRNA) molecules are approximately 80 nucleotides in length. Their secondary structure includes four short double-helical elements and three loops (D, anti-codon, and T loops). Further hydrogen bonds mediate the characteristic L-shaped molecular structure. tRNAs have two regions of fundamental functional importance: the anti-codon, which is responsible for specific mRNA codon recognition, and the 3' end, to which the tRNAs corresponding amino acid is attached (by aminoacyl-tRNA synthetases). tRNAs cope with the degeneracy of the genetic code in two manners: having more than one tRNA (with a specific anti-codon) for a particular amino acid; and 'wobble' base-pairing, i.e. permitting non-standard base-pairing at the 3rd anti-codon position. Lineage: Eukaryota; Metazoa; Chordata; Amphibia; Anura; Mantellidae. The record is from RNAcentral.